Molecule: long non-coding RNA, 105 nt
Organism: Gavialis gangeticus (Gharial)
Lineage: Eukaryota; Metazoa; Chordata; Crocodylia; Gavialidae
Exons: 3
Source: RefSeq, a predicted model, not a curated record
GCCUUGGCUGGGAUGAUGGAGUUGGGGCUGGUCCUGCUUGGAGUGGGGGAUUGGACUAGAUGUGACCCUCUGAGGUCUCUUCAACCUUCAUUUUCCUGUGAGUCU